This 220-nucleotide ribosomal RNA is filed under the name uncultured Streptococcus sp. RNAcentral's name for it is "partial 16S ribosomal RNA". It matches the Rfam family "Bacterial small subunit ribosomal RNA", at positions 1163 to 1382 of the family's 1533-position model. Lineage: Bacteria; Bacillati; Bacillota; Bacilli; Lactobacillales; Streptococcaceae. The record is from RNAcentral.
GGGGAGGAAGGUGGGGAUGACGUCAAAUCAUCAUGCCCCUUAUGACCUGGGCUACACACGUGCUACAAUGGUUGGUACAACGAGUUGCGAGUCGGUGACGGCGAGCUAAUCUCUUAAAGCCAAUCUCAGUUCGGAUUGUAGGCUGCAACUCGCCUACAUGAAGUCGGAAUCGCUAGUAAUCGCGGAUCAGCACGCCGCGGUGAAUACGUUCCCGGGCCUU